UCGAAGUAAAGAAGAUUCUGGUUGAUAAUGGGAGUGCAGCAAAUAUACUCUCACAGGAGGCUUUCGCCAAAAUGGGGAUCUCUUCCAAAUAGCUCAAAGCAAUAAAAACUCCUCUACAAGGAUUUGGUGGCGGAGUCAUUAUCUCCGAGGGCAUCGUCGAGCUCCUACUUACAUUAGGAAUUGGUAAUACACAAGUGACGGAGAUCACACCAUUCCAAGUGGUUAAUACCCUACAACAUCAUUCUGGGAAGACCCCUACUAAACAAGAUCCAGGCUAUUGUGUCAACUUUCCACCUGGCCAUAAAGUUCCCCACGAGUCAUGGCAUCGAAGUAGUUCGAGGAGACCAAACAGCUGCUAGACAGUGCUAUGUUACUAGCAUCCGAGGAAUGAGUGAUGACGUCAUGCAACUUGCAGACCUCGAGCUUGAGC
Molecule: long non-coding RNA, 430 nt
Filed under: Olea europaea subsp. europaea
Lineage: Eukaryota; Viridiplantae; Streptophyta; Magnoliopsida; Lamiales; Oleaceae
Source: RNAcentral